GUGGGGAAUAUUGGACAAUGGGGGAAACCCUGAUCCAGCAAUGCCGCGUGAGUGAAGAAGGCCUUAGGGUUGUAAAACUCUUUCAGUCGUGACGAUGAUGACGGUAGCGACAGAAGAAGCCCCGGCUAACUCCGUGCCAGCAGCCGCGGUAAUACGGAGGGGGCUAGCGUUGUUCGGAAUUACUGGGCGUAAAGCGCACGUAGGCGGUACAUCAAGUUAGGCGUGAAAGCCCUGGGCUCAACCCAGGAACUGCGCUUAUUACUGAUGAACUAGAGAGCGGGAGAGGGUAGCGGAAUUCCCAGUGUAGAGGUGAAAUUCGUAGAUAUUGGGAAGAACACCAGUUGCGAAGGCGGCUACCUGGACCGGUACUGACGCUGAGGUGCGAAAGCGUGGGGAGCAAACAGG
This 405-nucleotide ribosomal RNA is filed under the name uncultured bacterium. RNAcentral's name for it is "bacterial SSU rRNA". It matches the Rfam family "Bacterial small subunit ribosomal RNA", at positions 354 to 776 of the family's 1533-position model. The record is from RNAcentral.